AUGAAAAAAAGAGGUAAAUUUCAGAGCUCUCCAAGUGAAGUUUCAAAUUUCGGAAAACCAACAUGCUUAUGUCCAUUCUGCAAUGCUAUAAUGUGGCAUCAAGAGAGAAGCAAGAACAACACAAACAUAUCAAGACCAACAUUCGGACUUUGUUGCAAGGAAGGCAAAGUCAAAUUGCCACCAUUGAAAAAACCUCCAGCAUACCUUCAGCAGCUACUAAUGUCUAAUGAAAAGGGAGAAUCCUCAAAUUACAGAGACAAUAUCAGGAACUAUAAUUCAAUAUUUGCAUUUACUUCGAUGGCUGGCCAGGUGGACUACGAGAUAAACAAAAGAGGGGGUGCACCGUAUGUUUUUCGCUUGAAUGGCCAAAACUAUCAUCAAAUUGGCACAUUGCUACCUAAAGAUAAUGGAGAUAAUGGUUGCAGGCCAAAGUUUGCUCAAUUGUACAUUUAUGAUACAGAAAAUGAGGUCAAAAACAGAAUGCAUGCUUCAACCUCAAAGGAAAGGAAAACACAACUAGAUGAAGGCAUGGUGUCUAGAUUAUUGGAGAUGCUUGAUGAGAACAACGAGUUAGUGAAAUCAUUCCGUAUGGCAAGGGAUAGAUACCAAGAGUCAGAUCUCGAAAAUGUUAGGUUGCGAUUAAUUGGUAAAAGGUCCAGUGAUGGAAGACAAUACAACCUACCAACUGCAUCUGAAAUAGCUGCACUCAUUGUUGGAGAACAGACAGGAGAAAAUGUUGGACGGGAUAUAAUAGUAGAAAAUAAAGACAAACAACUCCAGAGAAUUUCAGAACUACAUCCAAGCUUUAUGUCUAUGCAAUACCCAUUAUUAUUCCCAUACGGAGAAGACGGAUUCAGGCCAGAAAUAAAAUUAGAAAAAACAAAGGGUGGCGAAGGAAAGAGAAAGCAUGUUACCAUGAUGCAGUAUUAUGCAUAUCGCAUCCAGCAGCGACUGAACCAGUCAGUAAUCUUGCAAACGAGUGGCAAGUUGUUCCUUCAGUUCAUUGUAGAUGCAGCAACAUGCAUUGAGCAAUGGAGGCUGAAUUGGUACAGGAUGCAUCAAGGGACACUUAGAACAGAGCUAUAUAGCGGUUUGCAAGACGCAAUUGAUAAUGGUGAUACAAGAACUGAUCAAGUAGGUAAAAGAAUUAUACUACCUUCAUCGUAUAAUGGAAGUCCUAGGAAUAAACAGCAGUAUUACCAGGACGCAAUGGCGAUAUGUCGGUGGGCUGGAUAUCCAGAUCUGUUUAUCACUUUCACAUGCAACCCAAAGUGGCCAGAAAUACAGACCAUGUUGGACUUUAUACCAGGCCAAAAACCAGAAGAUCGUCCAGACAUUGUCAACAGAGUGUUCCUUAUAAAGCUCAAUGAACUGGUAGAAGACAUAUACAAAAAUAAGCGGUUUGGAAAAGCAAUAGCAAUUGUCUACACCAUCGAGUUCCAGAAAAGAGGUCUACCUCAUGCACAUAUACUACUAUUUCUGGAUCUAGGCGACAAGGAUCCUAGCCCCCAAAAUAUUGACCAGAUCAUAUCAGCAGAGGUACCAGACAAGGAUGCUGACCCAGAAGGUUACCUGGCAGUUGAAAAUUUCAUGAUGCACGGGCCAUGUGGACAACCGCACUACAAGUCACCAUGCAUGAUCAAUGGGAAGUGCUCAAAACAUUUCCCUAAGAUGUUCUGUGAGGAAACAAGCAUCGAUGAAGAAGGAUUCCCGAUAUACAGAAGAAGAAAUGAUGGAAGGACAAUAGAAAAAAAUGGAGUACAACUAGAUAGCAGGUAUAUUGUUCCAUACAACAGGGACCUGAUAGUCAAGUACCAGGCCCACAUAAACGGGGAAUGGUGUAAUAAAUCAAGAUCCAUAAAGUAUGCAUUCAAGUACACCCACAAAGGAGAGGAUAGAGCAACCAUAAUUUUGGGUACUGGAAACAAUUAUGAUGAGAUACAAAUGUACCUUGAUGCACGAUACCUAUCUGCAGGUGAAGCAUCUUGGCGUAUAUUUGGAUUUGAACUUCAGCAUCGGCAGCCUUCUGUACAGAGACUGCAAUUCCACCUUCAAGAUGAACAAAUGGUUGUGUUCCCGGACUCAACUGAUAUUGAGAAAAUUGUACAUAGAACUGGCAUAGAAAAAACAAUUUUCACUGAAUGGAUGACCUCUAAUCAAUUGUAUGAGGAGGCCCGUGAUCUGACAUAUGCAGAAUUCCCUACUAAGUGGACGUGGCAUGCAAAGAAGAAAAAAUGGAAACCAAGGAAAGGCAGGAAACAAUCUAUUGGGAGGAUCUACUAUGCCCAUCCAGCAAGUGGUGAGAAAUAUUACCUAAGAAUACUGCUAAACUCUGUCAAAGGUUGUAAAUCAUUUGAGGACAUCAGAAAAGUAAAUGGUAUUAUACACCCGACCUAUAGAUCAGCAUGUUACGCCCUUGGAUUACUCAAUGAUGACAAAGAAUGGGAUGAUUGUAUUAAGGAAGCAUCAAUUUGGGCUUCUGCACAACAAAUGCGCCAACUUUUCUGCACAAUACUCCUUUUUGGCGAGGUCACAGAUCCAGGAAAACUAUGGAAAUCUACAUGGGAAUUACUCUCGAAUGACGUACAACAACAUCAGAGGAGAAUCUUGAACUUUGAUGAACUUCAGCUUCAUCCUGAACAAAUACAAAACCUCACACUUAUAGAGAUAGACAUGUUGCUAAGGAGAGGUGGAAAGUCAUUAAAAGAUUAUGAAGAAAUUCCAUUACCAGAUAGCAACUCACUACAAGGUCUAGAAAAUAGGUUGGUAAGUGAAGAACUUAACUAUGACAGAGAUUCUCUCCAAAUAGAGAAAGUGGCAUUACUUAGAAAGUUGAAUCCAGAACAGAAACAAGCUUUUGAUGCAAUACUACAAUCUGUAAAUAGCAAACUAGGCAAAUUGAUAUUUGUCAAUGGAUAUGGUGGGACAGGAAAAACAUUUCUUUGGAAGGCAAUCACGACAUCACUACGAUCUGAAGGAAAAAUAGUUUUAGCAGUGGCAUCCAGUGCAAUAGCAGCGCUUCUUAUACCUGGGGGAAGAACUGCACAUUCAAGAUUUCACAUCCCACUCAACAUCGUUAAUGAGUCCACAUGUGACAUCAAGCAAGGAUCUUGUCUUGCAGACCUGCUAAAGAAAACAUCAUUAAUUAUAUGGGACGAAGCACCAAUGGCGAACAGACAUUGCUUCGAAGCAUUGGACAAGAGCUUGAGAGACAUUCUAAGGUUCACAAACGAAAAUAGUACAGAUAAACCAUUUGGAGGGAUGACAGUAGUGAUGGGAGGUGACUUCAGACAAAUCCUGACUGUAAUACCGAAAGGACGAAGAUCUCACAUUGUUAAUGCAUCCUUAAAACGUUCUUACUUAUGGAAACACUUUGAGGAAUUCAAGCUCACUCAGAACAUGCGUGUUUCUGCACUAACAGAUACUCCAGAAGAACAAAGAAAGACCACAGAUUUUGCGGGCUGGAUUCUAAAUAUUGGAGAUGGAUUAGUUGGAAAUAAAGAAGAAGAGGCAUGGGUACAUAUACCUGAAGACUUGCUUCUGCAGAAAGGAGAGAACCAAUUUGAAACGAUCAUCAACAACACCUAUCCAAACCUAUGGACGAACUACACCGACCGAACAUACUUAGAAGAGAGAGCCAUCUUAUGUCCAAGAAAUGACAUGGUUGAUGAGGUAAAUUCUUACAUCAUGAGUAGAAUAGAAGGUGAAGAGGUAACAUAUCAAAGCUCAGAUACAGUGUGCAAAGCAAUGUCAAAUUCGGAAGAUGUAGAUCAUUUGUACCCAACAGAAUUCCUGAAUAGCUUGAAGUGCCCUGGGAUAUCAGACCACAUACUACGGCUGAAAGUAGGCCUGCCAAUUAUGCUGCUACGGAAUAUCAACCAAAGCGAGGGCUUAUGCAAUGGUACGAGACUAACUAUAACACAGCUAGGCAAAUGGUUCAUAGAAGCUCAAAUAAUAACAGGGACAAACAUUGGAAACAAGGUAUAUAUUCCAAGGAUAAUUAUGUCACCAAGUGACUCGAAAUGGCCGUUUGUGUUGAAAAGGAGGCAGUACCCAAUAUCAGUUUGUUUUGCAAUGACGAUAAAUAAGAGUCAAGGGCAGUCGCUAAAACAUGUGGGCCUAUAUUUACCGAAGCAGGUGUUCACGCAUGGCCAACUCUAUGUAGCGGUAUCAAGAGUCACAAGUAGAGAUGGACUUAAAGUUCUAAUUUCAGAUGAAGAAUCCAAGGAAAAUAAUUCGGCAAAAAAUAUUGUGUACAAGGAGAUCCUUUAG
RNAcentral lists this ribosomal RNA (4272 nucleotides) under Triticum aestivum (bread wheat). Its description in RNAcentral is "partial small subunit ribosomal RNA". Lineage: Eukaryota; Viridiplantae; Streptophyta; Magnoliopsida; Poales; Poaceae. The record is from RNAcentral.